CGCUCAUUGGUUUGUUUCGGUAUAAUGAGUCGUACCUGCCCGGUGGAUUAAGUUCUAAACGGUUAUUAAUAUACUAAGGUAGCAUAAUGAAUCGUCCCUUAAUUGGGGAAUGGAAUGAAUGGUUUGUCAUAGAUAAGCUGUCUUUAAGUUAUAGAGUGAAAUUUCCAUUUAAGUGAAAAGGCUUAAAUUAUUGUAAAAGAAGAGAAGACCCUGUCGAGCUUGUUUAGAAGCUGCUAGAGUGAGCUAGCACGCUUUGAAUUUUUAUUGGGGCAAUAGGGGGCCAUAGUUAACGCCCCUUUGUAUUGUAAGGAUCCUAUUUGAUAGAAAUAAGCAAAAGCUACCGCAGGGAUAACAGCGUAAUUUUUUUUUUGAGGCCUUAUUGGAAAAAUAGUUUGCGACAUCGAUGUUGAAUUAAGAGUUUCUCAUGGUGCAGCAGCCAUGAGAGUGAGACUGUUCGUCUUAUAUUUUCUU
Molecule: ribosomal RNA, 471 nt
Filed under: Gafrarium alfredense
Lineage: Eukaryota; Metazoa; Mollusca; Bivalvia; Venerida; Veneridae
Description: Gafrarium pectinatum alfredense partial 16S ribosomal RNA
Rfam family: Bacterial large subunit ribosomal RNA
Source: RNAcentral